This 369-nucleotide ribosomal RNA is filed under the name Reticulitermes flaviceps. Its description in RNAcentral is "partial 16S ribosomal RNA". It matches the Rfam family "Bacterial large subunit ribosomal RNA", at positions 1950 to 2522 of the family's 2925-position model. The record is from RNAcentral. Lineage: Eukaryota; Metazoa; Arthropoda; Insecta; Blattodea; Rhinotermitidae.
GCAAAGGUAGCAUAGUCAUUAGUUCUUUAAUUGUGAUCUGGUAUGAAUGGCUUGACGAGGCAUGGUCUGUCUUAAUUUUGAAUUGUUUAUUGAAUUUGGUCUUUGAGUUAAAAUUCUUAGAUGUUUUUAUGGGACGAGAAGACCCUAUAGAGUUUAACAUUUGCUAUGGUCCUCUUUCUGUUUGUGAGGGUUCACUGGGCCAUUUAAUAUGUUUUGUUGGGGUGAUGGGAGGGAUAAAUUUAACUCCUCCUUUUGUUAUUAUAUUUAUUUAUAUUUACUUGAUCCAUUUAUUUUGAUUGUAAGAUUAAAUUACCUUAGGGAUAACAGCGUUAUCUUCCUUGAGAGUUCUUAUCGGCAGGGGGGUUUGCG